GUACACUCCUGCGGGAGGCAGCAGUGGGGAAUAUUGCACAAUGGGCGCAAGCCUGAUGCAGCCAUGCCGCGUGUAUGAAGACGGCCUUCGGGUUGUAAAGUACUUUCAGCGGGGAGGAAGGCGAUAAGGUUAAUAACCUUGUUGAUUGACGUUACCCGCAGAAGAAGCACCGGCUAACUCCGUGCCAGCAGCCGCGGUAAUACGGAGGGUGCAAGCGUUAAUCGGAAUUAUUGGGCGUAAAGCGCACGCAGGCGGUCUGUCAAGUCGGAUGUGAAAUCCCCGGGCUCAACCUGGGAACUGCAUUCGAAACUGGCAGGCUAGAGUCUUGUAGAGGGGGGUAGAAUUCCAGGUGUAGCGGUGAAAUGCGUAGAGAUCUGGAGGAAUACCGGUGGCGAAGGCGGCCCCCUGGACAAAGACUGACGCUCAGGUGCGAAAGCGUGGGGAGCAAACAGGAUUAGAUACCCGUGUAGUCCCAUGAU
RNAcentral lists this ribosomal RNA (479 nucleotides) under uncultured organism. RNAcentral describes it as "partial 16S ribosomal RNA". It matches the Rfam family "Bacterial small subunit ribosomal RNA", at positions 331 to 801 of the family's 1533-position model. The record is from RNAcentral.